AUGGCCACACAUCUAGAUCUGUCUUCCGAAUUAUCAAUCUUUGAAUUCAGAUGUAUAAUGUGCAGCUGUAAGCCAGUAAACGAGCUCAUGUUACGAUUGAGUUUGAGAAAAAUGACAAAUAAGAUCAGAUUUUUUUUUUUUACUUGUAAAUGUAAUUCGAAAAUAUGUUUGUUCGACUAUUUUUAUAUACCAGUUCUUACGUACUCGAUGCAAACAUUUAUCAGUUAUCAGAAGGGUUCAUGUUAUCACGUGUACCUACCCAAAAAAAAGGUUAUCGGCUUAUCGCCUGUUAUGUGUCAUACAACUCCAAACAAGCAUAAAACUUUGCAUAAUGUCAAUUGA
This is a non-coding RNA of Vicia faba (fava bean), 342 nucleotides long. The record is from the annotation of a GenBank genome assembly. NCBI's taxonomy places the organism in Eukaryota, Viridiplantae, Streptophyta, Magnoliopsida, Fabales, Fabaceae.